Molecule: transfer RNA, 67 nt
Filed under: Eozapus setchuanus (Chinese jumping mouse)
Lineage: Eukaryota; Metazoa; Chordata; Mammalia; Rodentia; Dipodidae
Description: tRNA-His
Rfam family: tRNA
About the family: Transfer RNA (tRNA) molecules are approximately 80 nucleotides in length. Their secondary structure includes four short double-helical elements and three loops (D, anti-codon, and T loops).
Source: RNAcentral
GUAAUUAUAGUUUAUAAAAACACUAGACUGUGAAUCUAGAGAUAGAAGAUUACACUUCUUAUUUACC